CUCUGCAAAAAAUGCUCCUGGAACCCAAAUAUGUUAUCAUCAGGGAGGAGAUUCAGGGAGCAGAGCUUUUAUAGAAGAUGGACACAAAGAAGUUCAGCUUCCUCUCCCCACUUGAAGAAUUUGAAGAGAUAUAAGCAGAAAUCUUUGAAGAAUGAUUUGAAUGGCAUCAAGGACCUGUUGGCCAAAGGCUCCCCAGCCCCACAUCAUGCAAAGUUGUCAUUGAAGCACAGCUGUCUCAGAUGAGAGUUUAUGGCUCCUGCAAACAGUAAUGACAACCACACAACGGACCUGAUCUUGGGAGCCCAAGGCGAGCAAGCAAGACAGAGGUUCACUGUCAAUCCCUACUCUUUUAGCUCCAUUCAUCUUCCCUCUGAAAAUAGAGGCACAUAGAGCUGAAAUCAGGGAUAGAUUUUUCUGUAGUGGUGGUUCUACCAGGAUGAUGGGGGCUAGAGCCUCCUUUCCCCACUGCUGACAUCCUGUCCUGG
Nothoprocta perdicaria is the source of this 485-nucleotide long non-coding RNA. RefSeq lists it as uncharacterized. NCBI's taxonomy places the organism in Eukaryota, Metazoa, Chordata, Aves, Tinamiformes, Tinamidae. The transcript is spliced from 3 exons. The record is from RefSeq and is a predicted model, not a curated record.